UACAGAGGUCUCAAGCGUUGUUCGGAUUCAUUGGGCGUAAAGGGCGCGUAGGCUGCGGGGUAAGUCGGGUGUGAAAUCUCAGAGCUCAACUCUGAAACUGCAUUCGAUACUGCCGUGCUUGAGGACUGGAGAGGAGACUGGAAUUUACGGUGUAGCGGUGAAAUGCGUAGAUAUCGUAAGGAAGACCAGUGGCGAAGGCGGGUCUCUGGACAGUUCCUGACGCUGAAGCACGAAGGCCAGGGGAGCAAACGGG
RNAcentral lists this ribosomal RNA (253 nucleotides) under uncultured bacterium. RNAcentral's name for it is "partial 16S ribosomal RNA". It matches the Rfam family "Bacterial small subunit ribosomal RNA", at positions 524 to 776 of the family's 1533-position model. The record is from RNAcentral.